Molecule: non-coding RNA, 112 nt
Organism: Papiliotrema laurentii
Lineage: Eukaryota; Fungi; Basidiomycota; Tremellomycetes; Tremellales; Rhynchogastremaceae
Source: the annotation of a GenBank genome assembly
GGGUGGGUACCGAAGUGGUUACCGGGGUGGCCUCAAGCUUUUCUUUGCUUGUUUCUCUUGAAAUAUAUCCACUGUGCUAACGCGCGCGCGAGUUCGAAUCUCGUCCCACCCA